This 440-nucleotide ribosomal RNA is filed under the name uncultured bacterium. RNAcentral describes it as "bacterial SSU rRNA". It matches the Rfam family "Bacterial small subunit ribosomal RNA", at positions 338 to 795 of the family's 1533-position model. The record is from RNAcentral.
CCUACGGGUUGCACCAGUGGGGAAUAUGGGACAAUGGGCGAAAGCCUGAUCCAGCAAUGCCGCGUGAGUGAUGAAGGCCUUAGGGUUGUAAAGCUCUUUUACCCGGGAUGAUAAUGACAGUACCGGGAGAAUAAGCCCCGGCUAACUCCGUGCCAGCAGCCGCGGUAAUACGGAGGGGGCUAGCGUUGUUCGGAAUUACUGGGCGUAAAGCGCGCGUAGGCGGCUUUGUAAGUUAGAGGUGAAAGCCCGGGGCUCAACUCCGGAAUUGCCUUUAAGACUGCAUCGCUAGAAUCGUGGAGAGGUUAGUGGAAUUCCGAGUGUAGAGGUGAAAUUCGUAGAUAUUCGGAAGAACACCAGUGGCGAAGGCGACUAACUGGACACGUAUUGACGCUGAGGUGCGAAAGCGUGGGGAGCAAACAGGAUUAGAUACCCGUGUAGUC